Molecule: small RNA, 255 nt
Filed under: Paenibacillus larvae subsp. larvae
Lineage: Bacteria; Bacillati; Bacillota; Bacilli; Caryophanales; Paenibacillaceae
Description: BsrG
Rfam family: BsrG
About the family: bsrE, bsrG and bsrH pair through intermolecular interactions with antisense sRNAs. SR4 interaction with the 3'UTR of bsrG RNA promotes bsrG degradation and inhibits its translation.
Source: RNAcentral
AGCAAUAGUGGCUUAUACGUGGGCGGUCGGCUAAUCCCCUGGAAAGGGGGUGAUGCCAAUGGAAACGUUUCAAGCUCUUCAAUUAAUGUUCCUAUUUGGGAUGUUUAUUCUGGCGCUUCUGACGUUUAUCCAAAAGAUGAAAUAGAUCGCCCACCGAGGAAAGGUUAAGUGCGAUCUAUUUGUCGUAAUUCCUUCUAAGCCAACCGCAAACAUAUAGCGCGGCUAUUGCUGACCGUGGACGUUACAGCGUCUGCG